RNAcentral lists this ribosomal RNA (254 nucleotides) under uncultured bacterium. RNAcentral's name for it is "partial 16S ribosomal RNA". It matches the Rfam family "Bacterial small subunit ribosomal RNA", at positions 524 to 776 of the family's 1533-position model. The record is from RNAcentral.
UACAUGGGGUGCAAACGUUGCUCGGAAUCAUUGGGCGUAAAGCGCGCGUAGGCGGGUACUUAAGUCGAAUGUGAAAGCCCUCGGCUUAACUGAGGAAGUGCAUCCGAAACUGAGUAGCUAGAGUACGAAAGAGGGUCGCGGAAUUCCCGGUGUAGAGGUGAAAUGCGUAGAUAUCUGGAGGAACACCGGUGGCGAAGGCGGCAUCCUGGACCAACACUGACGCUGAGUGAGCGAAAGCCAGGGGAGCAAACGGG